AGAGCGAACGCUGGCGGCAGGCUUAACACAUGCAAGUCGAGCGCCCCGCAAGGGGAGCGGCAGACGGGUGAGUAACGCGUGGGAACGUACCUUUUGGUUCGGAACAACACAGGGAAACUUGUGCUAAUACCGGAUAAGCCCUUACGGGGAAAGAUUUAUCGCCGAAAGAUCGGCCCGCGUCUGAUUAGCUAGUUGGUGAGGUAACGGCUCACCAAGGCGACGAUCAGUAGCUGGUCUGAGAGGAUGAUCAGCCACAUUGGGACUGAGACACGGCCCAAACUCCUACGGGAGGCAGCAGUGGGGAAUAUUGGACAAUGGGCGCAAGCCUGAUCCAGCCAUGUCGCGUGAGUGAUGAAGGCCCUAGGGUUGUAAAGCUCUUUUAACGGGGAAGAUAAUGACGGUACCGUAGAAUAAGCCCCGGCUAACUUCGUGCCAGCAGCCGC
RNAcentral lists this ribosomal RNA (443 nucleotides) under uncultured bacterium. Its description in RNAcentral is "SSU rRNA". It matches the Rfam family "Bacterial small subunit ribosomal RNA", at positions 26 to 518 of the family's 1533-position model. The record is from RNAcentral.